UACUUGCCCUGAUUCUGGCAUAGUAAAGCCAAGUUAUUUAACUGUUUGGCCACAUCUGGGUGAUCUUUGCCAAGAACCUGAAAAUGAAGCAGGCUUCUAUUGUAGGAAUCGCAAGCAGCAGACUUGGUCGUCACAAACUGUAACUACCGAUUCACCCAGAACCAAAAAUAUGUGCGGGACUGCUGUCCAUGCAUGCACACGGCAUUGAAAAAAUUAUGGAAUAUUUGGAGACUGUCAAGUUAAACAGCACUUCAUACAGUAUUUGUGUCUGGUCUCCCCAUAAGAAGAAUGAAAGAAUGAA
Molecule: long non-coding RNA, 301 nt
Organism: Thamnophis elegans (Western terrestrial garter snake)
Lineage: Eukaryota; Metazoa; Chordata; Lepidosauria; Squamata; Natricidae
Exons: 3
Source: RefSeq, a predicted model, not a curated record